UUGCUUAAGUAGUAAAUACACCAAAAUUUAAACUGCACAGGAAAGAUUAGCAUUGUCUCUAUACAAAGAAAACAGUCAAAUUCAGGAAGCACUGCAUAUUGUA
Molecule: small nuclear RNA, 103 nt
Filed under: Notamacropus eugenii (tammar wallaby)
Lineage: Eukaryota; Metazoa; Chordata; Mammalia; Diprotodontia; Macropodidae
Source: RNAcentral